UCGGGAAUUUUGGGCAAUGGGCGAAAGCCUGACCCAGCAACGCCGCGUGAAGGAUGAAAUCCUUCGGGAUGUAAACUUCGCAAGAACGGGAAGAAUAAGCCGGUGUGAACACCACCGGCGAUGACGGUACUGUUUGUAAGCUCCGGCUAACUCCGUGCCAGCAGCCGCGGUAAUACGGGGGGAGCAAGCGUUGUUCGGAUUUACUGGGCGUAAAGGGCGCGUAGGCGGCCACCGCAAGUCACUUGUGAAAUCUCCGGGCUUAACCCGGAAAGGUCAACUGAUACUGCGGGGCUAGAGUGCAGAAGGGGCAACUGGAAUUCUCGGUGUAGCGGUGAAAUGCGUAGAUAUCGAGAGGAACACCUGCGGCGAAGGCGGGUUGCUGGGCUGACACUGACGCUGAGGCGCGAAAGCUAGGGGAGCGAACGG
RNAcentral lists this ribosomal RNA (426 nucleotides) under uncultured bacterium. Its description in RNAcentral is "bacterial SSU rRNA". It matches the Rfam family "Bacterial small subunit ribosomal RNA", at positions 355 to 775 of the family's 1533-position model. The record is from RNAcentral.